This 181-nucleotide ribosomal RNA is filed under the name uncultured bacterium. Its description in RNAcentral is "partial 16S ribosomal RNA". It matches the Rfam family "Bacterial small subunit ribosomal RNA", at positions 1320 to 1500 of the family's 1533-position model. The record is from RNAcentral.
AUGAAGUCGGAAUUGCUAGUAAUCGCAGAUCAGCAUGCUGCGGUGAAUACGUUCCCGGGCCUUGUACACACCGCCCGUCACACCAUGAGAGUCGAUAACACCCGAAGCCUGUAGUCUAACCAUAAGGGGGACGCAGUCGAAGGUGGGAUUGAUAAUUAGGGUGAAGUCGUAACAAGGUAAC